RNAcentral lists this unclassified non-coding RNA (1088 nucleotides) under Leishmania donovani. Its description in RNAcentral is "gene:unknown". The record is from RNAcentral. Lineage: Eukaryota; Euglenozoa; Kinetoplastea; Trypanosomatida; Trypanosomatidae.
AGGUUAGACGUCGCGCUUUCUGCAUUCUCGCUGCCUCAUCGCUGCCCCAUAUCCCCCCCCUGCCUCUACGCCACGCCCCUUCACCGUCACACGUUGCUAAAGAGACGUUCAGAGACCCUCGAAGGACGACCGCACCAGCGCUGCCCUUUUCCACUUGUCGCUGCCUUCCGGCAAUCCAACUCGUUCUUCUUCAGAUCUCGGUUGCUCCGUCUUGCGAUAAUUCAUCUUAAGCAGCAGCCGCUUUUCUUUUUUUGUUGUUUGUUUUGCUACUCGCCUCCGCGCCUUCAAGCCCCAAAACGUGACAACAGCACCCGCUCUGUUUUUCGUUCUACUUUGACGGCUUCUUUUCCUUGUUGUGCUGCUGCGCGCACGCGUGUUCUUGUGCACGCUUACCCGCCACUCCUCCCUCUACCGCGCAUCCGCACACAAGUGUGCUGCGCGUUUAAAGUGGGCGCAUCGGCUGCGCAAGCGCAAAGGAGAUAGACGCAGGCACACAAACGCGCUCUGCCGAAAGCGCAGCGAGGGAGCAAAACAGAAGACUACCGACUGCCGUCUUUGUGCGUGUCUUUUCAGUGCGUUUGCCUGUGCGCCCCGUCGCCCGGAGCUCACUUGCAUUUUAAUCGAGUUUCGCAGGUGUUUGAGUAACACUAUUAUUCUGUCUCACCCCUUCCACUUCUUGUAUUGUCGUUGUCAUUGUCUCCAGUGUUAGCUUGUCGUCUUCGCUCACUCGUUCACGCAGAGACACUCCAGCGCUUGCCUGUCGCUGCUGCUGCUGCUAUAACCCUUCUCUCUCUCUUUCCUCUAAGUCAUGGCAAUUCGUUGGGUGCUUCGUUUUUGUAUUGAGUGAUUCGAGGCGGACAUUUGUUGCCGAGCGUGUUUUGGCGGUCCUCUAUUGUGGUUCCUUUUUUUGCUUGUGGAUCGCUUGCUGCUCUCUUCUGGACUCUGUUGAGACAAACUGUGAGUGCUGGUCCUCUCUGCUGUCGCUCUCACUGUCGCUGUCGUGAACCCCGCAUUUCCGUUUGAAUUCGUUCGUGUGCUCUUUCUGAUAGGUUGCUGCAUUGUGACUGUUCGUGUCGCUGUAUAAGUCG